GAUGAACGCUGGCGGCGUGCCUAAUACAUGCAAGUCGAGCGAACGGACGAGAAGCUUGCUUCUCUGAUGUUAGCGGCGGACGGGUGAGUAACACGUGGAUAACCUACCUAUAAGACUGGGAUAACUUCGGGAAACCGGAGCUAAUACCGGAUAAUAUUUUGAACCGCAUGGUUCAAAAGUGAAAGACGGUCUUGCUGUCACUUAUAGAUGGAUCCGCGCUGCAUUAGCUAGUUGGUAAGGUAACGGCUUACCAAGGCAACGAUGCAUAGCCGACCUGAGAGGGUGAUCGGCCACACGGGAACUGAGACACGGUCCAGACUCCUACGGGAGGCAGCAGUAGGGAAUCUUCCGCAAUGGGCGAAAGCCUGACGGAGCAACGCCGCGUGAGUGAUGAAGGUCUUCGGAUCGUAAAACUCUGUUAUUAGGGAAGAACAUAUGUGUAAGUAACUGUGCACAUCUCGACGGUACCUAAUCAGAAAGCCACGGCUAACUACGUG
This 497-nucleotide ribosomal RNA is filed under the name uncultured bacterium. RNAcentral describes it as "partial 16S ribosomal RNA". It matches the Rfam family "Bacterial small subunit ribosomal RNA", at positions 28 to 507 of the family's 1533-position model. The record is from RNAcentral.